AUUGAACGCUGGCGGCAGGCUUAACACAUGCAAGUCGAGCGGGGAAAGGUAGCUUGCUACCUGACCUAGCGGCGGACGGGUGAGUAAUGCUUAGGAAUCUGCCUAUUAGUGGGGGACAACAUCUCGAAAGGGAUGCUAAUACCGCAUACGUCCUACGGUAGAAAGCAGGGGACCUUCGGGCCUUGCGCUAAUAGAUGAGCCUAAGUCGGAUUAGCUAGUUGGUGGGGUAAAGGCCUACCAAGGCGACGAUCUGUAGCGGGUCUGAGAGGAUGAUCCGCCACACUGGGACUGAGACACGGCCCAGACUCCUACGGGAGGCAGCAGUGGGGAAUAUUGGACAAUGGGGGGAACCCUGAUCCAGCCAUGCCGCGUGUGUGAAGAAGGCCUUUUGGUUGUAAAGCACUUUAAGCGAGGAGGAGGCUACCGAGAUUAAUACUCUUGGAUAGUGGACGUUACUCGCAGAAUAAGCACCGGCUAACUCUGUG
Molecule: ribosomal RNA, 485 nt
Filed under: uncultured bacterium
Lineage: Bacteria
Description: partial 16S ribosomal RNA
Rfam family: Bacterial small subunit ribosomal RNA
Source: RNAcentral